CCUACGGGUGGCUGCAGUGGGGAAUAUUGGACAAUGGGGGGAACCCUGAUCCAGCCAUGCCGCGUGUGUGAAGAAGGCCCUCGGGUUGUAAAGCACUUUCAGUGAGGAAGAACGCCUGGUGGUUAAUACCCAUCAGGAAAGACAUCACUCACAGAAGAAGCACCGACUAACUCCGUGCCAGCAGCCGCGGUAAUACGGAGGGUGCGAGCGUUAAUCGGAAUUACUGGGCGUAAAGCGCGCGUAGGUGGCUUGAUAAGCCGGUUGUGAAAGCCCCGGGCUCAACCUGGGAACGGCAUCCGGAACUGUCAAGCUAGAGUGCAGGAGAGGAAGGUAGAAUUCCCGGUGUAGCGGUGAAAUGCGUAGAGAUCGGGAGGAAUACCAGUGGCGAAGGCGGCCUUCUGGACUGACACUGACACUGAGGUGCGAAAGCGUGGGUAGCAAACAGGAUUAGAUACCCUUGUAGUC
Molecule: ribosomal RNA, 465 nt
Filed under: Vreelandella stevensii
Lineage: Bacteria; Pseudomonadati; Pseudomonadota; Gammaproteobacteria; Oceanospirillales; Halomonadaceae
Description: partial 16S ribosomal RNA
Rfam family: Bacterial small subunit ribosomal RNA
Source: RNAcentral